RNAcentral lists this ribosomal RNA (200 nucleotides) under uncultured bacterium. Its description in RNAcentral is "partial 16S ribosomal RNA". It matches the Rfam family "Bacterial small subunit ribosomal RNA", at positions 8 to 208 of the family's 1533-position model. The record is from RNAcentral.
AGAGUUUGAUCCUGGCUCAGGACGAACGCUGGCGGCGUGCCUAACACAUGCAAGUCGAGCGGAGCUAUUAGCAAUAAUAGUUUAGCGGCGGACGGGUGAGUAACGCGUGGGCAACCUACCUCAUACUGGGGGAUAACACAGGGAAACUUGUGCUAAUACCGCAUAAUACCAUGGAAGGACAUCCUUCUAUGAUCAAAGGA